GGGGUUGUGGCUCAAUGGUAGAGCGCUCGCCUAGCAUGUGUGAGGCACUGGGUUCGAUCUUCAGCACCA
RNAcentral lists this transfer RNA (69 nucleotides) under Marmota monax (woodchuck). It matches the Rfam family "tRNA". From Rfam's summary of the family: Transfer RNA (tRNA) molecules are approximately 80 nucleotides in length. The record is from Rfam by way of RNAcentral. RNAcentral also lists the same sequence under 2 other names. Lineage: Eukaryota; Metazoa; Chordata; Mammalia; Rodentia; Sciuridae.